CGGGGGGCAGCAGUAGGGAAUCUUCCGCAAUGGACGCAAGUCUGACGGAGCAACGCCGCGUGAGUGAAGAAGGUUUUCGGAUCGUAAAACUCUGUUGUUAGAGAAGAACAAGUGCUAGAGUAACUGUUAGCGCCUUGACGGUAUCUAACCAGAAAGCCACGGCUAACUACGUGCCAGCAGCCGCGGUAAUACGUAGGUGGCAAGCGUUGUCCGGAUUUAUUGGGCGUAAAGCGAGCGCAGGCGGUUCCUUAAGUCUGAUGUGAAAGCCCCCGGCUCAACCGGGGAGGGUCAUUGGAAACUGGGGAACUUGAGUGCAGAAGAGGAGAGUGGAAUUCCAUGUGUAGCGGUGAAAUGCGUAGAUAUAUGGAGGAACACCAGUGGCGAAGGCGACUCUCUGGUCUGUAACUGACGCUGAGGCUCGAAAGCGUGGGUAGCAAACAGGAUUAGAUACCCCAGU
Molecule: ribosomal RNA, 457 nt
Filed under: uncultured Bacilli bacterium
Lineage: Bacteria; Bacillati; Bacillota; Bacilli
Description: bacterial SSU rRNA
Rfam family: Bacterial small subunit ribosomal RNA
Source: RNAcentral